CAUGCCCCCUAGAGGUGUUACAGGUAUGGCUGCUAUGUCACAUGUGCAAUUGUAGGUGGCAGAGUUGAGAGAGCCUAUGUCUAGGCUCAGUGUUCUGACCUAUGGACAUCUGAAUGAUUAGUGGACUAACACU
Grammomys surdaster is the source of this 133-nucleotide small nucleolar RNA. RefSeq annotates it as small nucleolar RNA SNORA17. The record is from RefSeq and is a predicted model, not a curated record. Lineage: Eukaryota; Metazoa; Chordata; Mammalia; Rodentia; Muridae. The transcript has a single exon.